RNAcentral lists this transfer RNA (57 nucleotides) under Strongylus equinus. RNAcentral's name for it is "tRNA-Met". Lineage: Eukaryota; Metazoa; Nematoda; Chromadorea; Rhabditida; Strongylidae. The record is from RNAcentral.
AGUAAGAUAGGAUAAGUUUAGUCUAUCAGGUUCAUACCCUGAGGGUAUUUAUUUCUU